CAGUCGCCGCGGUAAUCCGUAGGUGGCAAGCGUUGUCCGGAAUUAUUGGGCGUAAAGGGCUCGCAGGCGGUUUCUUAAGUCUGAUGUGAAAGCCCCCGGCUCAAUCGGGGAGGGUCAUUGGAAACUGGGAAACUUGAGUGCAGAAGAGGAGAGUGGAAUUCCACGUGUAGCGGUGAAAUGCGUAGAGAUGUGGAGGAACACCAGUGGCGAAGGCGACUCUCUGGUCUGUAACUGACGCUGAGGAGCGAAAGCGUGGGGAGCGAACAGGAUUAGAUACCCCGGUAGUCCCUGUCUCUUAUAU
Molecule: ribosomal RNA, 301 nt
Filed under: uncultured bacterium
Lineage: Bacteria
Description: partial 16S ribosomal RNA
Rfam family: Bacterial small subunit ribosomal RNA
Source: RNAcentral